RNAcentral lists this ribosomal RNA (896 nucleotides) under uncultured organism. RNAcentral describes it as "bacterial SSU rRNA". It matches the Rfam family "Bacterial small subunit ribosomal RNA", at positions 587 to 1470 of the family's 1533-position model. The record is from RNAcentral.
GUCCGGCGUGAAAGGCAGAGGCUCAACCUCUGGACUGCGUUGGAUACUUCCGUGCUUGAGGACUGGAGGGGAGACUGGAAUUCACGGUGUAGCAGUGAAAUGCGUAGAUAUCGUGAGGAAGACCGGUGGCGAAGGCGAGUCUCUGGACAGAUCCUGACGCUGAGGCACGAAGGCUGGGGGAGCGAACAGGAUUAGAUACCCUGGUAGUCCCAGCAGUAAACGAUGUGAGCUUGAUGUGGGGGGAUUCGACCCCUUCCGUGUCGAAGCUAACGCGAUAAGCUCACCGCCUGAGGAGUACGGCCGCAAGGCUAAAACUCAAAGAAAUUGACGGGGACCCGCACAAGCGGUGGAGUAUGUGGCUUAAUUCGAUGCAACGCGAAGAACCUUACCUGGCCUUGACAUGCAUUGUGUCGUCGGUGAAAGCCGGCUAGUCCUGGAAACAGGACGCUUUGCACAGGUGCUGCAUGGCUGUCGUCAGCUCGUGUCGUGAGAUGUUGGGUUAAGUCCCGCAACGAGCGCAACCCUUGUGGUCAGUUACUAACCGGCUUAGCCGGAGGACUCUGGCCAGACUGCCCUGUCAAACGGGGAGGAAGGUGGGGACGACGUCAAGUCAGUAUGGCCCUUAUGGCCAGGGCUGCACACGUACUACAAUGCCCGGUACAAUGUGAACCGAAACCGCGAGGUGGAGGAAAUCGCUCUUGAAAACCGGGCCCAGUUCGGAUUGGAGUCUGCAACUCGACUCCAUGAAGUCGGAAUCGCUAGUAAUGGCGUAUCAGCAACGACGCCGUGAAUACGUUCCCGGGUCUUGUACACACCGCCCGUCACAUCAUGGAAGUCCCCUGUACCCGAAGCACGUGCGCCAACCUUUUAGGAGGCAGCGUUCGAAGGUAUGGGAG